Molecule: ribosomal RNA, 508 nt
Filed under: uncultured bacterium
Lineage: Bacteria
Description: partial 16S ribosomal RNA
Rfam family: Bacterial small subunit ribosomal RNA
Source: RNAcentral
GACGAACGCUGGCGGCGUGCUUAACACAUGCAAGUCGAACGGGCCUUGUCCCCUUUUUUUUUGGGGGUGGGGUUAGUGGCGAACGGGUGAGUAACACGUGAGUAACCUGCCCCUCACUUCUGGAUAACCGCUUGAAAGGGCGGCUAAUACGGGGUGUUCUGGCCUGCUCGCAUGGGUGGGUUUGGAAAGAUUCGACCGGUUUUGGUUGUUUUGGUGGGGGAUGGGCUCGCGGCCUAUCAGCUUGUUGGUGGGGUGAUGGCCUGCCAAGGCUUUGACGGGUAGCCGGCCUGAGAGGGUGGGCGGUCACACUGGGACUGAGACACGGCCCAGACUCCUACGGGAGGCAGCAGUGGGGAAUAUUGCACAAUGGGCGCAAGCCUGAUGCAGCAACGCCGCGUGAGGGAUGGAGGCCUUCGGGUUGUGAACCUCUUUCGCCAGUGAAGAAGGUCCUGCUCUUUGUGGUGGGGUUGACGGUAGCUGGGUUAAUGAAGCGCCGGCUAACUACGUG